Molecule: signal recognition particle RNA, 296 nt
Filed under: Cebus imitator (Panamanian white-faced capuchin)
Lineage: Eukaryota; Metazoa; Chordata; Mammalia; Primates; Cebidae
Description: Metazoan signal recognition particle RNA (ENSCCAG00000014474.1)
Rfam family: Metazoan signal recognition particle RNA
About the family: The signal recognition particle (SRP) is a universally conserved ribonucleoprotein. It is involved in the co-translational targeting of proteins to membranes. The eukaryotic SRP consists of a 300-nucleotide 7S RNA and six proteins: SRPs 72, 68, 54, 19, 14, and 9.
Source: RNAcentral
GCUAGGUAUAGUGUGUACCUGUAGUUCCAGCUACUCGGGAGGCUGAGGCAGGAAGAGGGCUUGAGCCCAGGAGUUCUGGGCUGUAGUGCGCUAUGCCGAUCAGGUGUCUGCACUAAAUUCAGCAUCAAUAUGGUGACCUCCCGGGAGCGGGGGACCACCAUGUUGCCUAAGGCAGGGUAAACCAGCCCAGGUCAUUAAUGGAGCAGCUCAAAACUCCGAUGCUAAUCAGUAAUAGGACUGUGCCUGUGACUAGCUACUGCACUCCAGCCUGGGCAACAUAGGGAGAUCCCAUCUUU